AACGAACGCUGGCGGCAGGCCUAACACAUGCAAGUCGAACGCUUCAGCAAUGAAGAGUGGCAGACGGGUGAGUAACGCGUGGGAACCUCCCCAGUGGUACGGAAUAGCCCAGGGAAACUUGGGGUAAUACCGUAUAAGCCCUUCGGGGGAAAGAUUUAUCGCCAUUGGAUGGGCCCGCGUCGGAUUAGCUUGUUGGUGAGGUAAAAGCUCACCAAGGCGACGAUCCGUAGCUGGUCUGAGAGGAUGAUCAGCCACACUGGGACUGAGACACGGCCCAGACUCCUACGGGAGGCAGCAGUGGGGAAUAUUGGACAAUGGGCGCAAGCCUGAUCCAGCCAUGCCGCGUGAGUGACGAAGGCCUUAGGGUUGUAAAGCUCUUUUGGCGGGGACGAUAAUGACGGUACCCGCAGAAUAAGCUCCGGCUAACUUCGUG
This 433-nucleotide ribosomal RNA is filed under the name uncultured bacterium. Its description in RNAcentral is "bacterial SSU rRNA". It matches the Rfam family "Bacterial small subunit ribosomal RNA", at positions 29 to 507 of the family's 1533-position model. The record is from RNAcentral.